AAAGGCUGCGGUAUUUUGACCGUACAAAGGUAGCAUAAUCAUUAGUUUUUUAAUUGAAAACUCGUAUGAAUGGUUUAACGAAAUAUUGACUGUUUCAUAAAAAUUUAAAUAGAAAUUAAUUUUUUAGUUAAAAAGCUAAAAUAAAAUUAAAAGACGAGAAGACCCUAUAGAGUUUUAUACUAAAUAUUUUAUAAUUUAUUUAUAAUAAUUAAAAUUUUAUUGUUUUUUGUAUUUUGUUGGGGUGACAAUAAAAUUUUAAAACCUUUUAUUUUUUAUUAAACAAUGAUUUUUGAAUAAUUGAUCCACUAUUAGUGAUUAUAAGAUUAAAUUACCUUAGGGAUAACAGCG
RNAcentral lists this ribosomal RNA (348 nucleotides) under Tarnania fenestralis. Its description in RNAcentral is "partial 16S ribosomal RNA". Lineage: Eukaryota; Metazoa; Arthropoda; Insecta; Diptera; Mycetophilidae. The record is from RNAcentral.